UCUUUAGGGAUGCUUCUGAGUAUGGAUGG
Molecule: non-coding RNA, 29 nt
Filed under: Mus musculus (house mouse)
Lineage: Eukaryota; Metazoa; Chordata; Mammalia; Rodentia; Muridae
Source: RNAcentral